UAUGUACAGAAGUGCUUCAGAGUGUGUCC
This 29-nucleotide non-coding RNA is filed under the name Mus musculus (house mouse). The record is from RNAcentral. Lineage: Eukaryota; Metazoa; Chordata; Mammalia; Rodentia; Muridae.